CAUUCCAAAGUAUGACUGAUGCUUUGUCUGUCCAGCUGCUUUGUCUUGAUGAAGUUUCACGCUUUAGAGGUCACUGGAGUAAAGGAAUGGAAUUUAUUUUGCAAUCACUAGAAUAAAGAAAUGGAAUUUCUUUUGCAAAUAUCCGAGGUUGUUGAAAAGGCACAUUUAAGUAACGCUGACAGUCUAUGAAAAAAGAUUAGAAAUGGCAUGUAAAACCGGUAAUAUCACAAAGUUUCAUUGACAAGCGUCUCUGCUAUGACAUAUGUUACUUGGGAGGCAACUGAAACAGUACUAUACUUAUCAAUGCAGCUCUGUUUUGAAUAUUUUACGAAAUAUUAUAAUUCUGCCAAAUUUUUUCAGAAAGUUCGCCAUUAGCAAUAGAAAAUUUACAUACUUAUUUUACGCUUUUGGUUUAUCUACAUAGUAACUUGUUUUUUAACUAUUAUAUAUUUCAAGAUUUGUAGAUUCAUAUACCCUUUAUUUUCGAAAAAAAAUCAGGUCAAGUUUGGACGACCUUCCUUAUGAGUUCUUAAAUACGAACCGAAGUAACUCUUAGUAAAAACAUUCGCAGGAGUUCUCAGUAAAAUAGAACAGCAGUAGAAAAGGCAGGAGGAAAAUACAUUGGGUAGAUUUUAGUUCACAUUCGCAAACAACUGAAAUGAAAUACGAAAAAAAAAAUAGCCAAUCAAACAGUACAUUUGAAAGUAAAAACGUUUAUUUAGCCUGGCUCAGUCUUCAGUUCUUCUUAACUAUGCUGGUUUUCAUUAAGUAUAACACGAAUACGAGCCACUUUCCUCUUAGAAAGCUCUCCAUGAAGGUAUUCGAACUGUUAGGCAGGUAGCCUAAUGUGCUUUGAAACAUUCUAAUAACCCUGUUCCUAAUUCUUUACUAUACUAGAAAAACUGUCUUUCGGCGGAUAGCGAGCGAGAGCCAAUGUACUAAACUGGGGGUAACUGUAGAAAAUAUCGUGCCAUGAAAAUGUAAAAAUAGUAUUUUGCUAUUUAAUGUUUUAUUUUUCCUUAUUAUUUUUCCGAAGACGCAGGGAAAAAUACAGAGCUUUUCGUGAAAAAUAUUCAUUACAAAUUGCAAUUAAAAUGUUUGGGAAAAAAAAAGCAUAGAAAAUGCGAUAACACACCUUUGAAUUGUUUUUAGCUCUCCGAAAAGGAACAUAUUUGCACUUAUCAGUAAAAUAUUAUGUGCAGUGUCAAUACCUUUUAGAACAACGAACUAAAAGAAGUUGUAACAAAUCUCCUCAUUGUUUACAGUCCUUACGCUGUAUUUACAAAAUAUGUUUUCAAUGCCGUAUCAAAUCAAGGAUGUAAUGAAGAUUCUAGAUUUUAUCCUCCAAUAAAAGUAUAAUCAGAAACUUCA
Long non-coding RNA from Stegodyphus dumicola, 1371 nucleotides. The record is from RefSeq and is a predicted model, not a curated record. NCBI's taxonomy places the organism in Eukaryota, Metazoa, Arthropoda, Arachnida, Araneae, Eresidae.